RNAcentral lists this ribosomal RNA (254 nucleotides) under uncultured bacterium. RNAcentral describes it as "partial 16S ribosomal RNA". It matches the Rfam family "Bacterial small subunit ribosomal RNA", at positions 107 to 354 of the family's 1533-position model. The record is from RNAcentral.
UGAGUAACACGUGAGUGACCUGCCUUUUAGACUGGAACAACUUACCGAAAGGUGAGCUAAUGCCGGAUGAGUUAUAUAAGUGCAUGUUUAUAUAGGAAAAGUUGGGGAGACCUGGCGCUGAAAGAUGGACUCGCGUCCCAUUAGCUAGUUGGUAGGGUAAUGGCCUACCAAGGCGACGAUGGGUAGCCGGCCUGAGAGGGUGGCCGGCCACACUGGGACUGAGACACGGCCCAAACUCCUACGGAAGGCAGCAG